CUGAAAUCAGACGAGACUACCCGCUGAACUUA
Molecule: ribosomal RNA, 32 nt
Filed under: Thermomucor indicae-seudaticae
Lineage: Eukaryota; Fungi; Mucoromycota; Mucoromycetes; Mucorales; Lichtheimiaceae
Description: partial 28S ribosomal RNA
Source: RNAcentral